UUCUUUCUUUCUUUCUUUUUUUUUAGGGGUGGGUGUGGAAGUGGAGGGUGGGUGUAUGGCAUUUAAUGUUUGUCUUGAUAUAGAAAGAAAAUUGGAGGUGCGUCAAUAGCAUUUGUUAGGUGCCUUUCUGGAACGGGAACACAAUGGGGCUACAACCCCCACCAUCAUUAUAUGAGUGAGAGGGUGAUGCUUUCUCAAGCAUCAAAAAAAAAUAAUUGAAGAGGGUGAUUGAGAUGAUGAUAGAUGCCUGGCUGUUUUGCUUGAGUGUGUGUG
Molecule: unclassified non-coding RNA, 273 nt
Filed under: Hevea brasiliensis (rubber tree)
Lineage: Eukaryota; Viridiplantae; Streptophyta; Magnoliopsida; Malpighiales; Euphorbiaceae
Source: RNAcentral